UACGGAGGAUGCGAGCGUUAUCCGGAUUUAUUGGGUGUAAAGGGUGCGUAGACGGGAAAAUAAGUUAGUUGUGAAAUCCCUCGGCUCAACUGAGGAACUGCAACUAAAACUAUUUUUCUUGAGUGCAGGAGAGGAAAGUGGAAUUCCUAGUGUAGCGGUGAAAUGCGUAGAUAUUAGGAGGAACACCAGUGGCGAAGGCGACUUUCUGGACUGUAAAUGACGCUGAGGCUCGAAAGCGUGGGGAGCAAACAGG
This 253-nucleotide ribosomal RNA is filed under the name uncultured Eubacteriales bacterium. Its description in RNAcentral is "uncultured Clostridiales bacterium partial 16S ribosomal RNA". It matches the Rfam family "Bacterial small subunit ribosomal RNA", at positions 524 to 776 of the family's 1533-position model. The record is from RNAcentral. Lineage: Bacteria; Bacillati; Bacillota; Clostridia; Eubacteriales.